Molecule: ribosomal RNA, 412 nt
Filed under: uncultured bacterium
Lineage: Bacteria
Description: bacterial SSU rRNA
Rfam family: Bacterial small subunit ribosomal RNA
Source: RNAcentral
UAGGGAAUAUUGGUCAAUGGACGCAAGUCUGAACCAGCCAUGCCGCGUGAAGGAUGAAGGUCCUCUUGAUUGUAAACUUCUUUUAUCUGGGACGAAAACGGGAUUUUUAUCUCAAUUGACGGUACCAGAGGAAAAAGCACCGGCUAACUCCGUGCCAGCAGCCGCGGUAAUACGGAGGGUGCGAGCGUUAUCCGGAUUUACUGGGUUUAAAGGGUGCGUAGGUGGGCUUAUAAGUCAGUGGUGAAAUCUCCGAGCUUAACUUGGAAACUGCCGUUGAUACUAUCGGUCUUGAAUUAUCUGGAGGUAAGCGGAAUAUGUCAUGUAGCGGUGAAAUGCUUAGAUAUGACAUAGAACACCAAUUGCGAAGGCAGCUUACUACAUAUAAAUUGACGCUGAGGCACGAAAGCGUGGG